RNAcentral lists this ribosomal RNA (471 nucleotides) under uncultured bacterium. Its description in RNAcentral is "bacterial SSU rRNA". It matches the Rfam family "Bacterial small subunit ribosomal RNA", at positions 335 to 800 of the family's 1533-position model. The record is from RNAcentral.
ACUCCUACGGGAGGGCAGCAGUGGGAAUAUUGGACAAUGGGGGAAACCCUGAUCCAGCCAUGCCGCGUGUGUGAAGAAGGCCUUCGGGUUGUAAAGCACUUUCAGUGGGGAGGAAAGGUUGUUGGUUAAUACCUAACAGCUGUGACGUUACCCACAGAAGAAGCACCGGCUAACUCCGUGCCAGCAGCCGCGGUAAUACGGAGGGUGCAAGCGUUAAUCGGAAUUACUGGGCGUAAAGCGCGCGUAGGUGGCUUGAUAAGCCGGUUGUGAAAGCCCCGGCUCAACCUGGGAACGGCAUCCGGAACUGUCAAGCUAGAGUGCAGGAGAGGAAGGUAGAAUUCCCGGUGUAGCGGUGAAAUGCGUAGAGAUCGGGAGGAAUACCAGUGGCGAAGGCGGCCUUCUGGACUGACACUGACACUGAGGUGCGAAAGCGUGGUAGCAAACAGGAUUAGAUACCCUGGUAGGCUCUGC